This 540-nucleotide ribosomal RNA is filed under the name uncultured Pseudomonadota bacterium. RNAcentral describes it as "bacterial SSU rRNA". It matches the Rfam family "Bacterial small subunit ribosomal RNA", at positions 8 to 522 of the family's 1533-position model. The record is from RNAcentral. Lineage: Bacteria; Pseudomonadati; Pseudomonadota.
AGAGUUUGAUCCUGGCUCAGAGCGAACGUUAGCGGCGGGCCUAACACAUGCAAGUCGUACGAGAAUAGGGGAGCAAUCCCCUUAGUAAAGUGGCGGACGGGUGCGUGACACGUGGGUGAUCUACCUUCCGGCGGGGGACAACAGUCCGAAAGGAUUGCUAAUACCGCGUACGUCGGCGAAGCCUCCGGGUUUCGUCGGGAAAGACGGCCUCUCCUUGGAAGCUGUCACCGGAAGAUGAGCCCGCGGCCCAUCAGCUAGUUGGUGAGGUAACGGCUCACCAAGGCUAAGACGGGUAGCUGGUCUGAGAGGAUGAUCAGCCACACUGGGACUGCGACACGGCCCAGACUCCUACGGGAGGCAGCAGUGGGGAAUAUUGGGCAAUGGGCGCAAGCCUGACCCAGCCACGCCGCGUGAGUGAUGAAGGCCUUCGGGUCGUAAAGCUCUGUGGGGAGGGACGAACAAGCCUGUGGCUAACAUCCACGGGCCCUGACGGUACCUCCUUAGCAAGCACCGGCUAACCAUGUGCCAGCAGCCGCGGUA